CAAUAGCGUAUAUUAAAGUUGUUGCGGUUAAAAAGCUCGUAGUUGGAUUUCUGCCGAGGACGACCGGUCCGCCCUCUGGGUGAGCAUCUGGCUCGGCCUGGGCAUCUUCUUGGAGAACGUAUCUGCACUUGACUGUGUGGUGCGGUAUUCAGGACUUUUUACUUUGAGGAAAUUAGAGUGUUUCAAGCAGGCAUACGCCUUGAAUACAUUAGCAUGGAAUAAUAAGAUAGGACCUCGGUUCUAUUUUGUUGGUUUCUAGAUCUGAGGUAAUGAUUAAUAGGGAUAGUUGGGGGCAUUCGUAUUUAAACUGUCAGAGGUGAAAAUUCUUGGAUUUGUUAAAAGACGGACUACUGCGAAAAGCAAUUUGCCAAGGAUGUUUUCAUUGAUC
RNAcentral lists this ribosomal RNA (388 nucleotides) under uncultured eukaryote. Its description in RNAcentral is "SSU rRNA". It matches the Rfam family "Eukaryotic small subunit ribosomal RNA", at positions 592 to 978 of the family's 1831-position model. The record is from RNAcentral.